RNAcentral lists this ribosomal RNA (520 nucleotides) under uncultured bacterium. RNAcentral's name for it is "bacterial SSU rRNA". It matches the Rfam family "Bacterial small subunit ribosomal RNA", at positions 120 to 674 of the family's 1533-position model. The record is from RNAcentral.
GGGAAUCUACCUUUUGCUACGGGAUAGCUCCGGGAAACUGGAAUUAAUACCGUAUGUGCCCUUCGGGGGAAAGAUUUAUCGGCAAAGGAUGAGCCCGCGUUGGAUUAGCUAGUUGGUGGGGUAAAGGCCUACCAAGGCGACGAUCCAUAGCUGGUCUGAGAGGAUGAUCAGCCACAUUGGGACUGAGACACGGCCCAAACUCCUACGGGAGGCAGCAGUGGGGAAUAUUGGACAAUGGGCGCAAGCCUGAUCCAGCCAUGCCGCGUGAGUGAUGAAGGUCUUAGGAUUGUAAAGCUCUUUCACCGGGGACGAUAAUGACGGUACCCGGAGAAGAAGCCCCGGCUAACUUCGUGCCAGCAGCCGCGGUAGUACGAAGGGGGCUAGCGUUGUUCGGAAUUACUGGGCGUAAAGCGCACGUAGGCGGAUAUUUAAGUCAGGGGUGAAAUCCCGGGGCUCAACCCCGGAACUGCCUUUGAUACUGGGUAUCUUGAGUGUGGUAGAGGUGAGUGGAAUUGCGAGU